GUUUGUUUAGUUUUAAUUUAAAAUUUUGGUUUGUGGAUUCAAAGAUCUUUUAGAGGAUAGGCU
This 63-nucleotide transfer RNA is filed under the name Cerynia lineola. RNAcentral's name for it is "tRNA-His". The record is from RNAcentral. Lineage: Eukaryota; Metazoa; Arthropoda; Insecta; Hemiptera; Flatidae.